RNAcentral lists this ribosomal RNA (492 nucleotides) under uncultured bacterium. RNAcentral describes it as "partial 16S ribosomal RNA". It matches the Rfam family "Bacterial small subunit ribosomal RNA", at positions 29 to 507 of the family's 1533-position model. The record is from RNAcentral.
AGUGAACGCUGGCGGUAGGCCUAACACAUGCAAGUCGAACGGCAGCACAGUAAGAGCUUGCUCUUACGGGUGGCGAGUGGCGGACGGGUGAGGAAUACAUCGGAAUCUACUUUUUCGUGGGGGAUAACGUAGGGAAACUUACGCUACUACCGCAUACGACCUACGGGUGAAAGCAGGGGAUAUUCGGACCUUGCGCGAUUCAAUUAGCCGAUGUCGGAUUAGCUAGUUGGCGGGGUAAAGGCCCACCAAGGCGACGAUCCGUAGCUGGUCUGAGAGGAUGAUCGGCCACACUGGAACUGAGACACGGUCCAGACUCCUACGGGAGGCAGCAGUGGGGAAUAUUGGACAAUGGGCGCAAGCCUGAUCCAGCAAUACCGCGUGAGUGAAGAAGGCCUUCGGGUUGUAAAGCCCUUUUGUUGGGAAAGAAAAGCAGCAGGUUAAUACCCCGCUGUUCUGACGGUACCCAAAGAAUAAGCACCGGCUAACUUCGUG